ACGCUCGACACCUACGAGAGGCAGCAGUGGGGAAUAUUGCACAAUGGGGGAAACCCUGAUGCAGCGACGCCGCGUGGAGGAAGAAGGUCUUCGGAUUGUAAACUCCUGUUGUUGGGGAAAAAGNGGAUGGUACCCAACAAGGAAGUGACGGCUAACUACGUGCCAGCAGCCGCGGUAAUCUGAGCGGGCUGGCAAGGC
This 198-nucleotide ribosomal RNA is filed under the name uncultured bacterium. RNAcentral's name for it is "partial 16S ribosomal RNA". It matches the Rfam family "Bacterial small subunit ribosomal RNA", at positions 328 to 539 of the family's 1533-position model. The record is from RNAcentral.